Molecule: ribosomal RNA, 515 nt
Filed under: uncultured bacterium
Lineage: Bacteria
Description: partial 16S ribosomal RNA
Rfam family: Bacterial small subunit ribosomal RNA
Source: RNAcentral
GAUGAACGCUGGCGGCGUGCCUAAUACAUGCAAGUCGAGCGAAUGGAUUAAGAGCUUGCUCUUAUGAAGUUAGCGGCGGACGGGUGAGUAACACGUGGGUAACCUGCCCAUAAGACUGGGACAACUCCGGGAAACCGGGGCUAAUACCGGAUAACAUUUUGAACCGCAUGGUUCGAAAUUGAAAGGCGGCUUUGGCUGUCACUUAUGUGUGGCCCCGCGUCGCAUGAGCUAGUUGGUGAGGUAACGGCUCACCAAGGCAACGAUGCGUAGCCGACCUGAGAGGGUGAUCGGCCACACUGGGACUGAGACACGGCCCAGACUCCUACGGGAGGCAGCAGUAGGGAAUCUUCCGCAAUGGACGAAAGUCUGACGGAGCAACGCCGCGUGAGUGAUGAAGGCUUUCGGGUCGUAAAACUCUGUUGUUAGGGAAGAACAAGUGCUAGUUGAAUAAGCUGACACCUUUACGUUACCUAACCAGAAAGCCACGGCUAACUACGUGCCAGCCGCCGCAGUAA